UGGUGAGGUAACGGCUCACCAUAGCAAUGAUGUAUAGGGGUUUUGAGAGGAAGGCCCCCCACAUUGGGACUGAGACACGGCCCAGACUCGCACGGGAGGCAGCAGUGAGGAGUAUUGGACAAUGGAAGGAAAUCUGAUCCAGCCAGACCGCUUGCAGGAAGACGGCAUUAUGGGUUGUAAACUGCUUUUAUACGGGAGCAAUAAGGGUUAAGAGUAAUCCGAUGAGAGUACGGUAAGAAUAAGGAUCGGUUAACUCCGGCACAGCAGCCGCGGUAAUACGGAGGAUCCGAGUGUUAUCCGGAAUUAUUGGGUUUAAAGGGUGCGUAGGCGGCCAUUUAAGUCAGCGGUGAAAUUUUGCAGCUUAACUGUAACAGUGCCGUUGAUACUGUUUGGAUAGGAUUUGGUUGUAGUGUGCGGCAUGUGUGGUGUAGCGGUGAAACGGUUAUCUAUCACACAGAACACCGAUUGCGAAGUCAGCACACUAAGUCAUUAUUGACGAUGAGGCACGAAAGUGUGGGGAUCAAACAGGAUUAGAUACCCUGGUAGUCCACACUGUAAACGAUGAUAACUCGCUGUCGGCGAUACAGCAGUCGGU
Molecule: ribosomal RNA, 595 nt
Filed under: uncultured bacterium
Lineage: Bacteria
Description: bacterial SSU rRNA
Rfam family: Bacterial small subunit ribosomal RNA
Source: RNAcentral